Malania oleifera is the source of this 1394-nucleotide long non-coding RNA. RefSeq lists it as uncharacterized. The record is from RefSeq and is a predicted model, not a curated record. The transcript has 2 exons. Lineage: Eukaryota; Viridiplantae; Streptophyta; Magnoliopsida; Santalales; Ximeniaceae.
ACAUAAAUAAAUAUAUUUUUAUAAUAUAUAUUUUUAUUGCAUACAAAUAAAAAUAUAAAACAGAAAAUGAUAACAAUUCCAAACAGAAACCAAAAAAUACUAGGGCACUAGAUAGCGUGGGUGAGGAUUAAUCUGACUGCCUCGUGAGCACUCAAACACGAACUUCCAUUUUCAGCAUAAACACAAUUUGUUCGAGUUGGCAAUGCCUCGGAAUCAAGACAUCGCGAAAAACGAAGUUGGAAAGGGAGACAGAAAACAGUCCCAGUAUCGGAAACGGCCAUGUCGAAGCCACCGAAGACGGCAACCUUCGAUUUGUUGGCAUUGACGGCGGUGUGACCGCUGCGAAUUGAAUUGAAAAAACAGUUGAUGAAAACAAUACAAGAAAUUCAUCCAACACCGAAAGAGAGAGGAAGUUGUUUUCGAAGCUUGAACCGAGUAAUGCAUCUCUCUUUCCUUCUCUGUCUCUUCUCCUUGAGGUCCUCGGCUGAAUUUCCAAAGCUGAACGGAGCAGAGGAAGCAGAGGAGAUCGAGGACAAACGUUCUGUGCCUCCCCAGUUCAAAGACAAGUGGCCGGACAGAAAAUAACGGCCACGUUUCAUUCCCGUUGCCUGCUGCACCGAAUACAUCAAAACGCAGCGUCUUAGGCCAAAAAACACAAUUAUUAAACUCGUCUGCCGUGCAUGAUCUGCAUCCAUCUCAAACCUAUUUUUGUCCCCGAAAACUCAAAAUUGUUCGAAUCAUAUCCUCCCCAAAAUCUAAAAAGUUGCCAUUGCUAUGAAUUAUUUUUCCUAGUUGCUGGUCAUUGUGAAUCUGCGAUCAUUUUUUUUUUCCAAUCUCAAACACGCAUUUUAAGAUUUUUUUUUAUUUUUUUAUAAUUCAUUAUGUUAUGAUAUAAUAUUUCAAAACCAUACUGCAAUCAUGUUCUGCAAUUUCACUGCAAUGAUAUCCUAAUUUGUUAUGAUCGCGUGCCCUAUUUAUUUUUUUUUCAACAACUUUUAUUGAUUUAUCGUGUGCGUGUAUUUAUUUAUUUAUUUAAGUUUAUUUUAUUCAUUUUUGGGCAACCUGGAACUCCGGAUGUCGGGCGAAUCAUUUCGAGUCUCCGGACGGCAGCAAACUGGGAAGAAGUGAUCUAGCUCAAGACAUGCAAUUACUAUGAAUGAAUGCAAAAAUGGUUGAAGAAGAGAAGGGCUAGAACUGUUAAUUUUUCUUCAUUAAAAUUUGUGAUAUCGAAUAUUUAUGAUAUGUCCUACUAUAGUAUAUCAUGCUAAUUCAUGAAUGGUGAUUUAUGUAAUGACAAACUCCUAUAGCUUGAUGGACAAUGUCACUUAGGCUGGAAAUAUAUGUUGCUAGGGCAAUAUUAUUUCUUUUCUAUAUACUGUGAACAAUAUUUUUUU